Long non-coding RNA from Drosophila sulfurigaster albostrigata, 339 nucleotides. RefSeq lists it as uncharacterized. The transcript has 3 exons. The record is from RefSeq and is a predicted model, not a curated record. Lineage: Eukaryota; Metazoa; Arthropoda; Insecta; Diptera; Drosophilidae.
CCAAAUCACUAUCGCAGCUAUCGAUAAACAAAACACUGCUCCAAGAAUCUAUUACAGCUGUUUUUUUUUUGGUGUAUGAAUUUGAACAAGAAUUGGAAAAUGAGCUCAAAAAGUGGAAAAAGCAGGCGAAUGGCGUUUUGUAGGAAAGACAAAAUCGCACUUAUUAGGGCAGUGCAGUCACAUGAAUGCUUAUGGAAAACAAGCAAAAAUCGCAAGGAACAAAAUGCAAUACAACACGCAUGGAAAAGGAUUGGCGCGCAAAUGAAUAAAGAAGCAUACGAGUGCAAGAUUGCAUGGCGUUCUAUAAGAGACAGCUGGAGAUACCAUCGUUCAAAGCCC